This 744-nucleotide long non-coding RNA is filed under the name Malus domestica (apple). Its description in RNAcentral is "long non-coding RNA (MDOM_LNC011116)". The record is from RNAcentral. Lineage: Eukaryota; Viridiplantae; Streptophyta; Magnoliopsida; Rosales; Rosaceae.
AGCAUAUUGAUGCGUACAACUCUUGUUCAAGGACUAGUCGUAUCACUUACGGUGGCUGCAUCAAAUAUAAAGGACAACGAUGCAUGAAAGUUGACAUAUAGCAAUUUAUUGAAAUACAACUUCGUUGUUUUCUGUGGAAAAGUUCUUGUACGUCCGUUGUACAUAACCUCCGAAAAACAAUCCAUAAGUCCGACUAGUCCACAUACCAGUGUUUGUGGUUCGAAAAUUUGUGUGAAUCAACGAAAUAUGAGUUCGAUAAACUACGUCAGCGUGACAAAUGUAAUGUAUGAGAUAGACGGGUGCAUCUAAUAGAAUUUUCUAACAUAAGCUGAACCAUGAACUCAAACUCCAAAUCGACUUGUUUAAGAAAAAAAGAAGGUUUGGAGUGCAAAUGGUGAGGAUGAGGAACAUGCCAAGGUCAUGAAAGAUAAAAGUAACCUACCCAAUAUUCAUACGAAUCUCAAUGUUAUAUGAUGGAUUGCAAAUGGUGAGGAUGAGGAACAUAUGCCAAGAAAGAUAAAAGGAACCGACACGAUAUUCAUACGAAUCUCAAUGUUAUAAGAUGGAUUGCAAAUGUGAGGAUGAGGAACAUGCCAAGGUCAUGAAAGAUAAAAGUAACCGACACAUUAUGAAAAGUCAACAGUAGGCAGGCAACCAUCACGAGGUGGCCUGGUGGUUGGAGACAAAUUUCAGGUCCGUAUUCUACACGACACAUCUGGGUUUGAUUACUGAUGUUGGUGAAUC